GAACAACGCUUAUUUAACAGUUACGAAGCAGGGCUGUUAACAUAUUGGAUGAUACAGAAAUUACCUGUUAAAUGUAUACUGGAGAUCAAACUUGAGACGGUUGGGUGAGAUGUUUUUCGAACUAGUGGAAUUCACCUCAAUAACUGUUGCUACAUAA
Molecule: small nucleolar RNA, 157 nt
Filed under: Schizosaccharomyces cryophilus OY26
Lineage: Eukaryota; Fungi; Ascomycota; Schizosaccharomycetes; Schizosaccharomycetales; Schizosaccharomycetaceae
Source: RNAcentral